GCGUACGGCCAUAUCAGCCUGGGUAUGCCCGAUCUCGUCUGAUCUCGGAAGCUAAGCAGGGUCGGGCCUGGUUAGUACUUGGAUGGUAGACCGCCUGGGAAUGCCAGGUGCUGUAAGCA
RNAcentral lists this ribosomal RNA (119 nucleotides) under Salmo salar (Atlantic salmon). The record is from RNAcentral. Lineage: Eukaryota; Metazoa; Chordata; Actinopteri; Salmoniformes; Salmonidae.